RNAcentral lists this long non-coding RNA (1095 nucleotides) under Equus caballus (horse). RNAcentral's name for it is "lncRNA (ENSECAG00000057649.1)". The record is from RNAcentral. Lineage: Eukaryota; Metazoa; Chordata; Mammalia; Perissodactyla; Equidae.
GUGCUCCUAAUUUCCACGGUUACGCGUUAUGGGUGAUUAAAACUGACAGGAGUGGACAGUGGUUCCAUGGCCAGGAUGGGCACGGGUUUGCUGACCAUUCCUCAGGAGUCAUCACACCAGGAAGCCGGGACAGGAACAAGAUGUGCCUCUGAGGUUUGCCUUUCAAGGGGGCAGCAAGCAGCCCUCAGGGCUGUUGGCAGGAACUGGACAAGCUGAGGCCAGGGGCUGGGGGGCAGGUCAAAAAUAGUCAGAUAUUUGCAACACCUCUUCCUCCGAUCUCAGAAUAAUUACUCCAGGACACUGGGCUUAACGCAGGACUUCUCGAACAAACUGGGGCGUGCGGUCACCCAUUGGCUCGUGACCAUCCUGACGGCUUCUCCCCACUUACUUGCAACAUGAAGUCCCCCUCCCGCCCCACAGCCCCUCUGUCAUUAGGCUGAGGUAUAAAGAUUAAGUUAAUGGAGGGCGGAGAAAAUCAGCUUUGUUGGCAAAUUGUCUCUGAUAUUUAUUUUGAACAUUAAAACGAAUCAUUCCAACUAAAGAGGGCUGUAGAGUGCCGCCCAUUAAAAUGCAUGCAUUAUGUACGGCUCUGCCAGCUUCACCUCCAAGUAUGAUCAGCCUGAAAAGCAAACACAGCUCCUAAAGCCCCUUGUUUACGACAUCCGUGACAGCUGAUUAAUGGCCACAGUCCCCAGAUCUGAAAGCUUAGUAACCCGAGCUAGAAAAUUCAAUCGCAUUCGGAUAUGGAUGAGGGGAUGGGAGGGAGCACAGCAAACAGGAACAGAGCAGAGCUCUUCAAAGGGGUCCAAGCUGGGGGUUGUCGCUGUUUGAAGAUCACUUGGGGUUUCUUCUUGGACAUUGUCUUAGAGCUGCUGCAGCAAAUGACCACAAACUUGGGACUUAAAACAACAGAAAUGCAUUCUCCCCCAGUUCUGGGGCCUGAAGUCUGAAACCAGCGUCAGCAGUGCCCGUGCCCUUGCAGGCUCUAGAGGGAGACCCUUCCUUGCCUCCUCCAGCUCCUGGCAUUCGUUGGCUUGUGGCUGCGUCACUCCAGUCUCUGCCUCUGUCUUCACAUCGCCUUCUUCCUGUUUCUGG